Molecule: long non-coding RNA, 359 nt
Filed under: Parus major (Great Tit)
Lineage: Eukaryota; Metazoa; Chordata; Aves; Passeriformes; Paridae
Description: lncRNA (ENSPMJG00000001243.1)
Source: RNAcentral
UGCUGGAUUAGAUGUACCCAGUGCCCUUGGUGAGCUCUGGGGAGAUACGAUCCUCGCCCUCCCGCCUCCGACCUGCUGGCGCCCAGUGCCGUCACCACAGCAACGGGGAGAAACAGCCCAUCCGCAUGGAAACGGCCUUGCUGUGCCCGCCAGCCCGCUCGGGAACGCGGUUCAAGUGGAGAGCUUGGAAAGGAAUUCUGGAUGGAGCUGGGACAGCGAUAAUACAUCACAGACCCACAACAAGCUCCUGCUGCUUGUGGAUACACAGAGGACCCUGGAAAAUCCAGUUUGUGGCGCACAAGGCAGGGCAAAAGAGACUGCAAGCAUCAAACCUGGCACGAUCCCAGCAGCCCCUUUAG